RNAcentral lists this ribosomal RNA (253 nucleotides) under uncultured bacterium. Its description in RNAcentral is "partial 16S ribosomal RNA". It matches the Rfam family "Bacterial small subunit ribosomal RNA", at positions 524 to 776 of the family's 1533-position model. The record is from RNAcentral.
UACAGAGGGUGCGAGCGUUAAUCGGAAUUACUGGGCGUAAAGAGCUCGUAGGUGGUUUGUCGCGUUGUUCGUGAAAACUCACAGCUCAACUGUGGGCGUGCGGGCGAUACGGGCAGACUGGAGUACUGCAGGGGAGACUGGAAUUCCUGGUGUAGCGGUGGAAUGCGCAGAUAUCAGGAGGAACACCGGUGGCGAAGGCGGGUCUCUGGGCAGUAACUGACGCUGAGGAGCGAAAGCGUGGGGAGCGAACGGG